Molecule: ribosomal RNA, 510 nt
Filed under: uncultured bacterium
Lineage: Bacteria
Description: partial 16S ribosomal RNA
Rfam family: Bacterial small subunit ribosomal RNA
Source: RNAcentral
GACGAACGCUGGCGGCGUGCUUAACACAUGCAAGUCGAACGAAGAGCGAUGGAAGCUUGCUUCUAUCAAUCUUAGUGGCGAACGGGUGAGUAACGCGUAAUCAACCUGCCCUUCAGAGGGGGACAACAGUUGGAAACGACUGCUAAUACCGCAUACGAUCUAAUCUCGGCAUCGAGGAUAGAUGAAAGGUGGCCUCUACAUGUAAGCUAUCACUGAAGGAGGGGAUUGCGUCUGAUUAGCUAGUUGGAGGGGUAACGGCCCACCAAGGCGAUGAUCAGUAGCCGGUCUGAGAGGAUGAACGGCCACAUUGGGACUGAGACACGGCCCAGACUCCUACGGGAGGCAGCAGUGGGGAAUCUUCCGCAAUGGACGAAAGUCUGACGGAGCAACGCCGCGUGAGUGAUGACGGCCUUCGGGUUGUAAAGCUCUGUUAAUCGGGACGAAAGGCCUUCUUGCGAAUAGUGUGAAGGAUUGACGGUACCGGAAUAGAAAGCCACGGCUAACUACGUG